RNAcentral lists this unclassified non-coding RNA (255 nucleotides) under uncultured Patescibacteria group bacterium. Its description in RNAcentral is "contains 16S-23S intergenic spacer region". It matches the Rfam family "Bacterial small subunit ribosomal RNA", at positions 524 to 776 of the family's 1533-position model. The record is from RNAcentral.
UACGAAGGGUGUAAGCGUUGCCCGGAUUUAUUGGGCGUAAAGUGUUUCGUAGGCGGCUUGAAAAGUUAUCUUUCAAAUACCACGGCUCAACCGUGGACAGGGAGAUAAUACUGUCAAGCUUUGAAGAAUAUUGGGGUUACUGGAACUGUCGGUGUAGGGGUGAAAUCCGUUGAUAUCGAUAGGAACUCCGAAGGCGAAGGCGAGUAACUAAGUAUUUCUUGACGCUGAGGAACGAAAGCUAGGGGAGCGAAAGGG